RNAcentral lists this transfer RNA (73 nucleotides) under Paramuricea clavata. It matches the Rfam family "tRNA". From Rfam's summary of the family: Transfer RNA (tRNA) molecules are approximately 80 nucleotides in length. Their secondary structure includes four short double-helical elements and three loops (D, anti-codon, and T loops). The record is from Rfam by way of RNAcentral. Lineage: Eukaryota; Metazoa; Cnidaria; Anthozoa; Malacalcyonacea; Plexauridae.
GCCCGGUAAGCUCAGUUGGUAGAGCAUCAGUUUUUUAAUCUGAGGGCCAUGGGUUCGAGUCCCAUAUCGGGCU